ACGCUCGACACCUACGGGAGCAGCAGUGGGGAAUAUUGCACAAUGGGGGAAACCCUGAUGCAGCGACGCCGCGUGAGUGAAGAAGUAUUUCGGUAUGUAAAGCUCUAUCAGCAGGGAAGAAAAUGACGGUACCUGAGUAAGAAGCCCCGGCUAACUACGUGCCAGCAGCCACGGUAAUCUGAGCGGGCUGGCAAGGC
This 197-nucleotide ribosomal RNA is filed under the name uncultured bacterium. Its description in RNAcentral is "partial 16S ribosomal RNA". It matches the Rfam family "Bacterial small subunit ribosomal RNA", at positions 328 to 539 of the family's 1533-position model. The record is from RNAcentral.